UACGUAGGGUGCGAGCGUUGUCCGGAAUUACCGGGCGUAAAGAGCGCACAGGUGGUUGAUUAAGUCUGAUGUGAAAGCCCACGGCUUAACCGUGGAGGGUCAUUGGAAACUGGUCGACUUGAGUGCAGAAGAGGGAUGUGGAAUUCCAUGUGUAGCGGUGAAAUGCGCAGAUAUCAGGAGGAACACCGAUGGCGAAGGCAGGUCUCUGGGCCACUACUGACGCUGAGAAGCGAAAGCAUGGGGAGCGAACAGGAUUA
This 257-nucleotide ribosomal RNA is filed under the name uncultured prokaryote. RNAcentral's name for it is "partial 16S ribosomal RNA". It matches the Rfam family "Bacterial small subunit ribosomal RNA", at positions 524 to 780 of the family's 1533-position model. The record is from RNAcentral.